UUAAUAAAAGAAUGAAAAAUUAAAACUCACACACAUAGUGUGUGUGAGUCUGCGAUCGAACAGAGGGAGGGACAAGGUGAAAAACCUAGCUUUGUUAAUUCCAUCAAAUUGAGUAGAGAUUUCAAGGAUAAUCAGUUGCAUGACCCUAAAUUUCGAUCAUCCAAACGUACUCAGUAAAGUGGCGUAAAAGAAGAAAGCUCAAACGCUAGGAAAUUUGGAAAGCUCGCAAGAUCGAGGUAAAUCCUCAACAUAAUGGCUUGGCGACUUGGAACGAACACACAUGAAUCACGUCCACCAUGUGCUUCCGCUACUUUUGUAAUUAUGUUAUGGGUCAAAAAUACUUUUGUGGUAUAUAACUUUUGU
Molecule: long non-coding RNA, 363 nt
Filed under: Helianthus annuus (common sunflower)
Lineage: Eukaryota; Viridiplantae; Streptophyta; Magnoliopsida; Asterales; Asteraceae
Description: sRNA HanXRQr2_Chr11g0500331
Source: RNAcentral